AGAGUUUGAUCCUGGCUCAGAUUGAACGCUGGCGGCAGGCCUAAUACAUGCAAGUCGAGCGGCAGCGGGAAAGUAGCUUGCUACUUUUGCCGGCGAGCGGCGGACGGGUGAGUAAUGCCUGGGGAUCUGCCCAGUCGAGGGGGAUAACAGUUGGAAACGACUGCUAAUACCGCAUACGCCCUACGGGGGAAAGGAGGGGACCUUCGGGCCUUUCGCGAUUGGAUGAACCCAAGUGGGAUUAGCUAGUUGGUGGGGUAAUGGCUCACCAAGGCGACGAUCCCUAGCUGGUCUGAGAGGAUGAUCAGCCACACUGGAACUGAGACACGGUCCAGACUCCUACGGGAGGCAGCAGUGGGGAAUAUUGCACAAUGGGGGAAACCCUGAUGCAGCCAUGCCGCGUGUGUGAAGAAGGCCUUCGGGUUGUAAAGCACUUUCAGCGAGGAGGAAAGGUUGGCAGCUAAUAUCUGUCAGCUGUGACGUUACUCGCAGAAGAAGCACCGGCUAACUCCGUGCCAGCAGCCGCG
Molecule: ribosomal RNA, 524 nt
Filed under: uncultured bacterium
Lineage: Bacteria
Description: bacterial SSU rRNA
Rfam family: Bacterial small subunit ribosomal RNA
Source: RNAcentral